UCUUUCUUUGCUGGCGACCGGCGCACGGGUGAGUAACACGUAUCCAACCUGCCCUUUACUCGGGGAUAGCCUUUCGAAAGAAAGAUUAAUACCCGAUAGCAUAAUGAUUCCGCAUGGUUUCAUUAUUAAAGGAUUCCGGUAAAGGAUGGGGAUGCGUUCCAUUAGGUUGUUGGUGAGGUAACGGCCCACCAAGCCUUCGAUGGAUAGGGGUUCUGAGAGGGAGGUCCCCCACAUUGGAACUGAGACACGGUCCAA
Molecule: ribosomal RNA, 255 nt
Filed under: uncultured bacterium
Lineage: Bacteria
Description: partial 16S ribosomal RNA
Rfam family: Bacterial small subunit ribosomal RNA
Source: RNAcentral